Molecule: long non-coding RNA, 1260 nt
Organism: Cygnus olor (mute swan)
Lineage: Eukaryota; Metazoa; Chordata; Aves; Anseriformes; Anatidae
Exons: 4
Source: RefSeq, a predicted model, not a curated record
UUGGGAUGCUGUUGGCCACCAGCGCUGUCCCUUCAAGUCUAGUCAUCCGACCCCACUACAUUCUGUCGGGAAACCAGUCAGCCGACCCCAGCACAUACUUUAGCCCAACCCAGGUAUUCAAAAACUACCUGCUGCUACCAAAGAAGAUUUUUCAUUGAUAGUUUCCCAGCAUUGAGAGCCCUGUCUUUGUGAGCUGUAAGCUUCCUGCUACCACAAUUAAUGCCAGCUGAGUAUUAAAGCAUGUGAGGGAGAGAGGUGACAAAACAGAUCUCCAUGAAGUGAAGAAGGGGAAGCAUAUAAAAUGAUGGCCCCAAAUAUAUGAGGAGGUUCCUAUGAAUCCAAAAGGACCAGGAAAGAUGGACUUCAGAAUGAAGAAAGAAAAAAACUUAGGGUGAGUUAAUGGGCAUCACAAUAGUUGCAUUAGUGCGUGCUAACAGUUAUGUCCCACCUUCCUGCAUCAGUGUUCUUGAUCUUGUAACCAUAAAAAACAACAAAAAUAUGCUUUUUCAUGCUGUGUGCAUUUCCAACCACAGAAGACACUUGGCUAUCGAGGCGAAGAUUUGUCAAAGGCUGAAACGACAAAGCACCAGAGUACUGGUGCUCAGUAUACUUCCCAUGGUCAAAGGCAUCCAUCUUCAGGGAGCAGAGAUGCCAGAGAAAACCUGGUUCAGGAAGCAUAUGAUGCCUGUGUGAGAGCUAGAGAAACUGCUUGCUUGCUGGCUUUGAAAAGAUGACUGUCGCAGGAGAAAUGGGACAGAAAGAAUGAGAUUUGGAACCAGAAGUCCAGCCUGUUUCUGGUGAAACGUCUCUAUUGGUAUCUUCACAUAUCUACCAAAAUACAAAAUGGACAGGCAGGAAGUCAUUUGCAAGCCGUAUGUAAUAUCCAGUCCUGCAAAGAAGUGCAUUCUGGGGGGUUGCUCUACCCACACAGCACUCCACCAUGCAGGCAUGCCUCCGCAUCCUUAUCUUUGCAUAACUCAAGCUUAGACCUCCUACAAGAUCAUCUCCCACCUCUAGUGUGCAUCUGUUCAUUUUCUGCCUGUCAAACCUCUUCAGAAUUUAAAAGUCGUAAGAGAUAGGAGAACAAGCUUUCAAGUUUGAGUGCAUCAGCUCAGGACAGAUUUGAUAAGAAAUGUUUUUUUUUAUUGCUUGACUUUUUUCUUUUUUUUUUUUUUAUUUUAUAAAAUGGAAUUCUCCUUCUGGGUAAGGAACCGUUUCUUGCAACGUAUUGUUCCUGAACAAUAAAAAAAAAAUAUCUAA